CGGUGAGUGUGAUGGUUUAUUUCUGGACUCUGGAUUCUGUCCCACUGCUCCGAGCUCUGUCCUUGUGCCGACAGUCUUGAUGGCUGUGGCCUUGCAGUCCAUUUCUAAACUUACUUUGUUCUUCUUCGAGAUUACUUGUCCUCUCCGAGGCCUUUGCUGUCUACGCAGUGGGUCCGGGUUUCAGCCUCUGCAGCUGCUGCUUCCAGCUGUCAGUGUCAGAACCUUCCCGAGCUUCUCGCCAUCCCCCACCUGAGCCCCCAUCAGGGCCUGGGGGUCCAGGGCUGCGAUGCUCAAGGUGUUGGCCCUGUGGUGAGAAAGGGGCUUCUGCAGGUCAGCAGGCCGGGGUCUGGCUGCGUGCUCGGGGCUCGGUCACAGCGUCUGAUGUCCCCCAGCGAGGGCACUCAGGGAGCUGAACUUCCAGAGAGUUGGGCCACCCAGACCAAGGCCAGUUGGGACUCGCCCCCCAGACAAAGCGUCAUCCCUGCCUAGAGCCCUGGGCCAGGACCCAAGCGACGGCAGAGCGGAGCACCAGCCAGGACCAGGGCAGGGACCCGAGCUCAGGCCCAGAUGUCCUGGGCCCUCGGGGACGCACAUGGACGCACCCUCGUCAAAGCAGCCUGCGAGAGGGCAUGCCUGCCACCAGCCUCUAACCCUCCAAACUGAAGCCACGGGUAUGCUUCCAGCCUGGCUUGAUGAGCGUGUCCAGGCUGAUUUAUGGAAAGGAAUUUCCCCACAAUACUAAACACAUAUGAAGAUACCUUACCCCACCUGUCCAUGGUUUUAAAGACUUCAGUGUGUCUCGUGGGUGAACCUCCAGUCUCAAGCCCUGAGAUGGGUGGUGGGUGUUCCAGUGUGUCCCUGGGGAGGGGUCCCCUCGGUCACUCCUCUCGCCUCCAGCGACCGCAGGGAUAACUGGCCCAGCCCGGGUACCCCAGGCCUUGCUGGGGCUCAGAGCUGCAGUGUGUGUGAGGACCGGUGCUGCUGGAAUUGCGCUGUGGCUGUGUUCCUGCUGACCUCCUCCCCGGGGCUGGACCGUCACCGGCAGGAACAACACAGGUUCUCCUGGAAGGGAGCAGGGUGCUGGAUGGAUUCCGCCUCGCCUUUAUUUCUGCUUUAUUUGUGGUUUUCUCUAAAUUCCCAUUUUGUAUACUUUACUUUCAAAACACUUUUAAGGGAGGUUUAUAAAGGAUCGUUUUUGCCUCGGAGAGAAAACAAAGAAACCUCCUGUUAAAAAGUGCCAAUAAAACAGAUGUCUGGCUGAA
Molecule: long non-coding RNA, 1262 nt
Organism: Budorcas taxicolor (takin)
Lineage: Eukaryota; Metazoa; Chordata; Mammalia; Artiodactyla; Bovidae
Exons: 2
Source: RefSeq, a predicted model, not a curated record